UUUAUUUCUAAAGAAGGCCCAUCACUUUUUAGGUCAUAUAUAUAGUUUUAAAGGUCAUUGUUUAGACCUAAGCUUGUAGAGACUAUUUUCCUCAUCUCUUUUGUACUUUGGGAGCAAAACCCUAUGGAGACUCCCUUUGGAGAAGAUCUUCUUUACUCUUUCUCUUGUUAUUAUUGAUUUCUUAUUCAUACUAUGAUUUGUGUUUCUUUGAUCAUGUCUGAGUAAUCCACUUGUUAGGUGUAGGGUUUCUCAUUAGGGAUUCAUAUUGUUUAGUAGAUCCCCCUUUGUUAGGUUAUCUGUAGAAUUCUUUAUCUUUAAUUGUUCUAAAUGCUAGAUCUACAUUGAUCACCUAGAACUUGAAUCCAAACCAUUUUUAUGCCCACCAUAGGUAUCUUUAGUUGGAUCUAUUAUUUGAUGAGCCUGGUUUAUAGGUGUGUAAUAAGAAUCGGCCUAUCUUCUAAGGUGAACAAUUGAACCCGUUUAGAAUGCAUGUUUAGGUUAAAGAUCUCUCGGCUUCUCCGGUUAUUCUUAGCUAUAGGCAUAGGGAGUUUCACGGAACACCACUGGUUAUUCUAUAAUUAGAGUUUGAGUUUAAGAAUGGUUCGAUAACAACCUAGCUAUUAUUAGAUCUACAAACCAAUUGUUUCCUGAGAAUACCCUAAGCCUAACGUUUUUACUUUCUUGUCUUACAACCUCACAAAGUCACAAUCUGCUAUUGCUUCCUUUUGUUUCUUUUUAUUUUCAUUACUAUCUUACUUAGCUUAAUUCAAAACCUUGGUCUAUUGUGUGAUUUGAGAGCUUUGUGGAAUUCGACACUUAAGUGCUACAAUCGAUCUCUUAUUUGAGAGAGUGGUCUUAAGGCAAUUUGACAUAUAUCACUACUUCUAGAGUAGCUAAAUAGAACUUGAUCUCAGAUAAUUGAUAUACCCGCCAUAGGUAUCUGUUACUAAAACUACUAUUUGAUGAGCCUGGUUUAUAGAUGUGUAAUAAGAAUCGGCCAAUCUACUAAGGUGAACUUAUCGAACUCGUUUAGCAUGCAUGUUUAGGUAUAGGGGUUCACGGCACGCCACCAGGAACCUUAGCUCUCGGCAUAGUGAAUUUCAAGGAACGCCACCGGUUAUUGUGAUAUUAGAGUUUGAGUUUAAAAACAGUUCAAUAACAACCUAGCUAUUUCUAGAUCUACUAUCAUCUAUUUCGUGAGAAUAUCCUAAGCCUAACGUUUUAAUUAUCUUAGUUUACAUCCAUCUCAUAAUUUGCUUAUGCUUUCUUUUGAUUUUCUUAUCUUUAGUUUAGCUUAAUUCGAUAACCUUAGUCUAUUGUGAGAUUCGAUAACGUUGCAGAUUCGACCCUUAAGUACUACAAUCGAUCUCUUAUUUGAGAGAGUGGUCGUAAGGCAAUUUGACCUACAUCAAGUACUCAGUGUUGGCUUUACCGGAGCGAAAUGAGCCUUAUGUUGUGU
Molecule: small RNA, 1459 nt
Filed under: Arabidopsis thaliana (thale cress)
Lineage: Eukaryota; Viridiplantae; Streptophyta; Magnoliopsida; Brassicales; Brassicaceae
Description: ATSL041270
Source: RNAcentral